GGAUCUUCUUGGGGGCUUGCUGGAAGACUUGUGACUUUAAGCCCAGGGAUUCUCUGCUCGGGAUGUGCACCAUGUGGACUGUGGAUCCUCCUUUUUGCUGGAGCUGCGUGGCAUGUGUUUGAACAAAGCUUGUUCCAGUUUUGAGUGGAUUUUCUCAUUUGAUGAUGUUGGCUGUGACUUCUCAACUACUAUGAGUUGCAAUGAGUAACCUGUGGAGUUUUGUGUUGACAUCCAAUAUUACUUGCUGGGAUAAAUUCAGUGAUCCAUGAAGUCCGAGUAGAGCCGAAGUCAGGAGAAAAUGGAAUCUGUGCUGAGUGGUUGCAGACCUGACUGAUGGUUCAUUGCUUACUAUGCUGGUAGGAAGAGUGGCUAUAUGCAACUUGAAGAUGAUCUGUGGACAGAAGUAAAUUGAGAUAUAGUUGAAGAUGCUGCUGUCUAUUGGGGGCAAAAAGAUUGACAGAUCCGUGAACAGGGAAGUUAAUAACCCUGCAUAAAGGUGGGAUCUGCUGCCUAUGGUUCAAUGUGUGAUGAGCUGUGUACUCUCA
Nothoprocta perdicaria is the source of this 545-nucleotide long non-coding RNA. RefSeq lists it as uncharacterized. NCBI's taxonomy places the organism in Eukaryota, Metazoa, Chordata, Aves, Tinamiformes, Tinamidae. The transcript is spliced from 4 exons. The record is from RefSeq and is a predicted model, not a curated record.